This 467-nucleotide ribosomal RNA is filed under the name uncultured bacterium. Its description in RNAcentral is "partial 16S ribosomal RNA". It matches the Rfam family "Bacterial small subunit ribosomal RNA", at positions 28 to 507 of the family's 1533-position model. The record is from RNAcentral.
GACGAACGCUGGCGGCGUGCUUAACACAUGCAAGUCGAACGGAAAGGCCUCUUUCGGGGGGUACUCGAGUGGCGAACGGGUGAGUAACACGUGAGUAACCUGCCCUUGACUUUGGGAUAACUUCAGGAAACUGGGGCUAAUACCGGAUAGGAGCUCCUGCUGCAUGGGGGGGGGUGGAAAGUUUCGGCGGUUGGGGAUGGACUCGCGGCUUAUCAGCUUGUUGGUGGGGUAGUGGCUUACCAAGGCUUUGACGGGUAGCCGGCCUGAGAGGGUGACCGGCCACAUUGGGACUGAGAUACGGCCCAGACUCCUACGGGAGGCAGCAGUGGGGAAUAUUGCACAAUGGGUGGAAGCCUGAUGCAGCAACGCCGUGUGCGGGAUGACGGCCUUCGGGUUGUAAACCGCUUUCGCUCAUGACGAAGCUUUGUGUGACGGUAGUGGGUAAAGAAGCACCGGCUAACUACGUG